Pelobates cultripes (western spadefoot toad) is the source of this 79-nucleotide non-coding RNA. The record is from the annotation of a GenBank genome assembly. Lineage: Eukaryota; Metazoa; Chordata; Amphibia; Anura; Pelobatidae.
AUUUUAGUCCUUUGUUGAGGAUUUUUUGUUGUGCCUUUGGUAUAGGCACAACAAAAAAUCCUCAACAAAGGACUAAAAU